This is a long non-coding RNA of Gorilla gorilla gorilla (western lowland gorilla), 1273 nucleotides long. RefSeq lists it as uncharacterized. The transcript is spliced from 4 exons. NCBI's taxonomy places the organism in Eukaryota, Metazoa, Chordata, Mammalia, Primates, Hominidae. The record is from RefSeq and is a predicted model, not a curated record.
AUUUUCCACACUGCCUGUCAGAAAGUUCUAUCUGCUGCUGGAUUCUUAGCCCUCUAGUUGUGAUGUGGAUGAGUUCCAUUCUUAUCUUAACAGUACUGUUCCUAAGAUUCCAUUUCCUCUCAAGAGCAGACAGGCUUGUGCUUAAAGGGGCCUUUUUACUGAUAGGCAGGACCCGCUCCUUGGCCUGCCGUGCUUGGCUACUGAGUGUCUCUGGGGUUUGAUGAGAUGCUGAUGACUGGGUGUUGCGGUGUCGAGUCCUGCAGUGCAUCAGCCCAAGACAGCUGGCACCUCUGACCCCUAGCCGCCCCAGGACGGUCACCCCACCUCCAUGCUGUGGCCCUGUUGGGCUGGUUUUCUGAUAUUAUUAGUAAUCUACAUCCUGCUCUGCUUCUAGGACCACAGGAGGCCUGGAAAUGUCUGCAGAGCUCUUAAUAGCACAGCAGGUUGCUGCAAUGAGGAGCUAAAUGUCUCAGUCUCCAUUCAUUGUGCCCAAACUGCCAGAUGAUCCAAAAUGGAGCUCACCUCCUAGGGUCCUGAGGGUUUUGUCUGCAGGGUUAGAAAACAUACUGCCCACUGAUCCCUUAUUGAAUUCACCCUCCAGAAUUGUGUUAGAACAAUCCCAACCCAGACUAACUCGAAACACUUUUCAGUGUCCUAAUGGGUCACUGUACCACCACAACAAACACCCAGUGGAGUUACUGGGGCUGCAGAGCUAAGCACCUUCCUUCAAGCACCCAGAAAUCACACUGUGAAACUUCAGCUUCAAGAAACUUAAGAGCUCUGUGUCCUGGAUAAGUCCUCCCCUAAGAUGCCACUCAGAAGACAAUUUUGAUUACUCCCAUUCAGUCAUUCAUUCACUACACAUUAUGAAGGUGGCUACUAUGUGCCAGAUGCCUACAGAGAUAAAGCAUAUAAAGUUGAGAUUCUACUUCAUUAAAACAGAUGCUGCUCAUGACCUUCAAUACUGAAACCAUGACUCACCAAAAGAUGACAACCCACAGUUUGAAAAUACCACCUGUUUAACUCCUGACACCAGUGUUUUCCAGCAUGGGAAGUGGAACUCAUAAGGAUUUUAAGUGAGACUGCUUUUUACUGGCUGAUCUUUGGAUCAGAGAGAGAAGGACAUCAAGGAAGAAGAGAGCGUGGGCCCAGGAGAGAGCAACGCAGGACAGGAGGAAGAAAGAGAAAGAAAAACAAAACACGACAUAAACCAGACAAGACACUAGGGAUGGUUGGUUCAAAGAAAAACCACAACAGAGCCAAGAGUGACCCA